UUCUAUUUUACGCCACCGCUCUUUUUUGCGAAACCAAGCAUAACCCCGUGAAUGUGUUGUGUGAUUUUAAUAGGAACUGUGUGUUUUCAUGAUAUACAUCAUCUCCAUUAAAAUGUAGCCAAACUUACAAAGGAAGUAUAUUCGGUUUCUGCAGGAGAAACACAUUUUAGGAGAUAAAGGCCAUUCAGCACUAAUUAGUUCUCAUGCUUGUGGAACAGAUUCCACUUUCCAAUUAGACACUAAUGAUCUGGUACGGGAGGCUUUUACCAGAAUUUAUCAAAUGCAAAAUGAAAUAGACGUGAAUCUCCGCAGCUCAAAGCCCGGAGCAAACAUCAGUCUCAUGUGUGAAGUCAGCAUGCUGAUUUCAUCGAUCCAUGGCGUUUCUAAUGGAGUUGCGGGGCAAACAAAGCUGACGCUUCCUGUUCCAUGCCUCAAGGAAGAGAUCUUGGACACACUCCUUGCAUUCUUGCCUUUCAAUAACACUAA
Long non-coding RNA from Tarenaya hassleriana, 486 nucleotides. RefSeq lists it as uncharacterized. Lineage: Eukaryota; Viridiplantae; Streptophyta; Magnoliopsida; Brassicales; Cleomaceae. The transcript is spliced from 4 exons. The record is from RefSeq and is a predicted model, not a curated record.